GUAGCCACUCAAAGAAAUUAGCCA
This 24-nucleotide non-coding RNA is filed under the name Gossypium hirsutum (cotton). The record is from RNAcentral. Lineage: Eukaryota; Viridiplantae; Streptophyta; Magnoliopsida; Malvales; Malvaceae.